This is an RNA transcript of Cephus cinctus (wheat stem sawfly), 7924 nucleotides long. RefSeq lists it as uncharacterized. The transcript is spliced from 18 exons. NCBI's taxonomy places the organism in Eukaryota, Metazoa, Arthropoda, Insecta, Hymenoptera, Cephidae. The record is from RefSeq and is a predicted model, not a curated record.
AGUGUUGAAAAAUAGUCGUGGCAAUCAUUCAGGAUUAGCGUCGGCACCUCAACGGAUAAAAAGAUGGCUGAAAAGGCCGCGCGCGUUACUCCUUCCGUUGCUGAUGAACACUCGCUUAGGAUAGUCACACGUAUAAGAUAUAGAUACAAACCACAGUGACAGAGAUUCGUCCGAUUCUUAGGGAGUUGGAGGAAGAGCGAAGGAGGGCGUGAUUAAUUUCAUCGAUUCGGCAUGACACAAGGCCCCUCUCGGUCCCCUUACGGUCAUUGUGGAUGGACGGUCGGAGGCCCAGAAGGUGAUAAAAAAAUAGUAGAAAAACAUGGAGUCGAUAACGUGCAUGUAAACCGGUACCGUGGACCACCGGAUCAGAUGCCCAUUACAAUGCUUGCCUGGUCGUCCACCUUUUGGGUCUUUCCCUUCAUUCUUCACACCUCUCUCAUAAGUUACUCUGGACGGUGCUUCCACGUCGUAGUUAGUCAUGGCUGGACUUGGGCCUGAGGUUUGCGGUUAUAUUUGUGCUUCAAAACCGGAAAUGGAAAAAUGUAUUUAACACUGGAGAAUGAUUCGGAUACCUGAUCCCGUUACGGGCAUUCAACGAGAUACUCCUGGGCAGUGCUAGUGAAGAAAUCAGUUAUUUAUCCGUGGUACGAGCGUGCUCGGCUUUGAAUCUUCAUGGGAUCGUUGAGGAUUCGUGUAUGUGGAUGCUGGUACGAGAUGCGGCUGGUGCAUUUGGCUAUUGCAAAUUUCAAUGGUACCCUCGAGCUGGAUGGCACUGUAGAUCUUUUAUUGUCCUGCUCAAACGUCAGCAUUAUGCUAUCUCGAUAGUGUCCCAAUAAUUAAUCGGAAUCCAAGAGGCGAACUCAAUUUGCAAGGAUGCCGCGAUGCCACCGAGGCUCCAGGUUGAAUCGGCAGAUGCUAUCUCGCCCUUGGAUCCUUUCCGUCAAAGGAGAUACUAGCGUGUGUAUCCUUAUACAGUGUCUGAGCAUGAGAAGAUUGUCCUACUGUUUUCAAUGGUGAAUUGUAAAGAAUUCGAAAACGUUGGUGGAUAUAUGAAAAAACAUUAAUUCGGUGACACAUAACAGUGCGAUCUUCGUAAUCUGGAUCGUCUUUGGGGUCCAUGAGAUGCGGUGGAUGCUGUGAAGCAUGGAAGAGAAGUCUGAAGAAAUAUUUUAAAAAACGUGGAAACGGACGAAUAGUAAUGUAAGGCUGCUGCGGAUUGAACGUCGAGAUGAAAAAGUGUGAAGAAUAAAUUUUGAUGGAGAAGUACAGCAUCUAUGGUCCAUUGAUGAAGCUAGACCGGCUCUUCCAGGAAGACGUGGUUCCUUUCCAAGAGAUUAUCUUCACUCUCCGGAUCGUCAAUGACUCGUUCUUCUUUCUCCUUCAUUUCUUCUAUAAGUGUUCCUGUCAGUCUGUCUAGUCGAGACGCGUACCAACAAUAGAGAAAUGGCAACGAUAAUGUAUAACCAAUGAAGAAUGGGAGCAUCAUUGCUUCGUACACGGUGGACGAUCCAGUCCCGCCAGUCGUGACCAAUCCUUUGUCAGUCAAGAUGAAAAUACAUUGGAAUCUAAUUUUCACUGAUUGGAGACCCGCUGAUAAACGUACGUUGAUCGGCUGAGGAUGUCCAGAUGAAAUUGGAACCCAGAAGCAGGAACGACGCAUCGUGGGAAAUCAAAUGGGAUCCAUACGAAUUGGCAAGAGUUACAAGAUGAGCUCUUGGGACGGUUCGAAACUGGCGCGACGUUACAGAAGCAGAAUGUCACACGAUAUGAAAAACCGGCCGAUUCAAGAGGACUGGAAAGUCUGGACUCUCGUAUGGAAUUCAUGACGUAGUCUGCGAGUUCGUUUAGUAUUCUACUUGGGUUUCACACGGAGAACACACGAUACUCUGGGUAAACAGUAUUACAUUAGCGUCCUGAUCAAACACCUCCCGGCCUCCUGACGAUCACGAGGACGAUGACGUGUUGACGUGUUCCGGUUCCGGUUUGCCUGUCCAAGCUCACCCCACGCAUUUACUGCGGUUUACUUAUUAUCGCACUCGGCGACGUUUCAAGGAAACGGGAUAAUGUUCCAUUGACUUUUCGGACUUUUGGAACUCAUCAGAAUUUUCAUUCCACCGGGGACAACAUUGGCUACUGAAAGAUUCACUGUUCUCUGAUGUAUUCCGGAUGAGAAUUUGUCCUUUGACCAUUGGCAAGUUUCUAUUGAAGGAAAAAUAAGAAAAAAGGGGUGCAAGUGUGAUUACGGCAGUAACGUGUACUAUUUGGUGAAUAACGACAAAUAUUUGGUAAAAGAGCGCCAGGCUACAAUUACUAUAGAACACAUGGCCACUGCCAGUGUAGCUGUUAAGUGUCUCGUUGCACGUUAUUUCGCCAUUCUUAGCAAACGCUCCCUUGAAUCAUUGAUUGGAGACCACUAUGAAUUGUCCAGUGGUUACUUAUUGUACCUGGUUAUUGAUUUUCUAUCGAAUAACCAUGUUUCAUGGCCGGGGGCUGAAGCGCUAGAAAAUGCCCAAGACAAGUAUCAGGCUGAUUAUCGAUGCUCGUAAAGUUGGACAUAACCUCAAAAAGAUCAAGAAUGUCCAACCGUACAUUAAUCUAUCGUUAUAAUCGAAUUACUUCCAUAUAACAAGAUAAAUAGUGACUAAAAUGGAAUCUCAUGUCAUGGGGGCGAGUAUCGCCCCGUCACGAUGACUCUUUAGCUAAACCCCCCACUAAAGUCAGUUCAUACCAAAGCAUCUGUGACAAUUCAUAUAAGAGUCCGUUCCCACAAAAUUGACAUAGCCGAUACCUAAUAACCAAAGAAAUCUUUAAUUUGUAAUCUCACAAGCAAUAAGGCUGGACCACGUAAAGAAGUAACUGACAGGAUGGUCAAAGGAUUCUCGUCAAGGUUCAAGGAGUCCAGAGCUUCUGAUGCUGUAUAAAUCGGUUACUCGUUUAUUAACCGUCGACGGAUUUGCGGUUUAAUCGUUGCGGUACUGCAGACACGGCUUUAAGGAUAUUCCAAUGUUUUUGAGGCACGGGCUGAUCGGUUUUUUUUAAACCAUCAUCCGUAUCUCAAUUUUUUUUCACUUUUCUUCUCUUUGCCAACGGCGGAACGAUCCUCGAUUGCCGAUCGAUCGGCAGCUCGUUCCGUGUCUCUACGGUGAUCGAUGUCAUUUUGUCACGGCCACGCCCGAGCACGUGACGCCAUGGAUGCGUUACAGGUGUUUGCCCAUCGUCCGUACGUUUGUCCCUGAAGGUAGUGCCACGGGUGGAUUUUAUACUCAUGACUCUUCUCUUCCUGGUCCAGCCGUACGUAGAUAGAUGGAGGACGGCAUAGAAUAGUUUACUAUAUAUUACACUGUCAUCCUGUUACGCUCUCUGACUAUGAGUAACUAUAUAUAUUAUGGUUUAUGUUAGCGAGACCAGCAUCUGCAACCAAUCUGGUGAAUGUGAAAUCGUGAUGUCCUGGGAAGGUGUCACUUGAGUGGAUGGGUCAGCAGCCUUUGUCCAUUUUUGUCUUCGAAGUUGGUACACCUCCUACGCUUACUUUACUACUAUAUACGUUUCAUCCUCUAUAGGUACUUCCUUCUUCGUGUACCGCUGGUACUCCUCUCUUGGCACAGCUCAUUUUCCACGCCAUAACAUUGUCACUGGGAGGCAUCGACUUUUUACUGGUUACCGUUCGUGUCAAGACCACGAGACCGGCUCUACGUCGGUGGCCUCUCUGAAUAGAGUUUGGACAGACUGGAGCAGGACGCACAGGAAUUGUCAUAAACUCUGAGGUUGCAGAAUUCAUGGAUCAUGGGUUACUGGUGUAACGUGGUAAAAAAUAAAGCGGCGCCUUGGGCGACGGAUGUGGCGGUACCGGAAGUCGAGGAAUAUUGAGAUGAUCGUUGAGCCAGGUCUUUAAGUCAUGGCUGAGACGGGGACCGUAAAGCAGAAUCAAGGGACAGCGAGGGAGCAAGAAAAGGAAGAGAGACCCGAAGUGGAGGUGGAGAUAGAGAAGAUGGUCCAGUGGAAAGCGUGUAGAGGAUAGAGAGGAUAGGAAGAUAAGAAAUCGAGUAGGCGUAAGAGAAAGAAGGCAGUAGGUUAGCCUUUUCGCUGUCAGACAGGGAACCUUCGGGGGGCCCACCUGUUACCAAUUACCCUGAGGCCCCUGGGCAUCUCCUGGGCCCUGCGCUAAUGUCGACAGCGCUACGGUGGCAGUGCUGCCACAACACUCCGCUAAUCUGUCACGAAUGCCUUAUGGAUUUAUUGUAUUACGUGUACCAGGAGGGAGAAAUGUCUACGCAGAAUUGCAUAACCAAGGUGAAGAUCGAGAGCGAGAUGCUGGAGAAAACCGGUAACUUCCCUAUGCAGGAUGAUCUGGAUAUGGAAUAGUACAUAGAGGUCGACCUCUAGGAGGAUCUUCCCUUCGUCAAGGACUCUGACUUCUUUCCACGGACUGGCAAGGUCCUUUCUUCUGCGACAGAGUCCGUUGUCCGGGAGUACAUCGACCUCGAGGAGUACCUAAGAGCUCUGAGAAAUGGCUGACUUCUCGUGUGCUCUACAUGUAGGAUUGAUUUUCCUGAUCAAGACAAGUUCAAUGUACGAACGAUUUGUAACUGUGAUGGAAAGCUUAUUUUUUAUGAAAUAUGCACAAUACAAUUUCCAGGUCAACUACGUCGAAGGAUCGUAUACUCGUGCAUUUAGAAUGAAAAUCCUAUAUGUAUCUGCGAGUAUUGCAAUUGUCCAUAUUCUGAUAUGGAAGUCCUGAAGAGUCAUAUUGCAUCGGUGCACUUUAAAAUAAGGCUCAUUUAGGGUAAGGCCCGCAGGAAAGUACUGGCCCAUAAGCAAUCUUCCAAGGAUCACAGCUUACUACACAAAACCUCGAAGCCUUCCUAACGCGCGGCUUGCAAGAAGAGAUUUAUAAGGCCCAGUAGUCUUAGGGCCCAUAUAAUUGUUCACAGUGCGGAAGUGCCUUCCCGAUAUCUGCUAAGCGAGAUUCAAACGUUCUCCAGUACCGAAGACCCAUAAGCUCACGCUUGGUGGUUAAGAGCUGAUUCGAAUGUGAGAUUUGCAAGGAGAGAUUUUAUCUCAAACGCGCACCGCAGCAUCACAUAUUCGUGCACUAUGGGCACGAGGUCUUACCAGUGCACAAGAUAUGAGAAUAGUUAUAGAAGAUGGGCCUUGAGGCCCAAAAAAAUUAUCAAAUUAAUACCAAGAUAAAUCACAAAGAUAUAUAAAAGAUAUAUUCAAUAUCAUAAAAGCAUUUGAAUUCGAAAUUCAUGUAAAAAAAAAUUUUUUUCUUCUGCUUCCUCCCUAGGGAUUAAGUUUGAAAUAAAAAAUUUUUUUUACCAAUAAUAGCACACAGUCUGACCAACUUUACAAUAUUUUCAAUAUCGUAAGGCUAUGAAGUCAAUUAGCCAGCCCGAGCUCCCAAUACAUCCGAAGAUGAGAUUUUGCAUACUGCCGAGUUGCCCAUCUAUAAUAAGCACUUUGCCCAUGGAAACAAUACGAUUAAUUCAAGAGUAGAUCAGACCAGUCUUCGAAGCUGUGCUAUACCUCCUACUUAAGUUAGGUAUCGAAGUAUCGCGUAAUUAUAGUGUUUUCCAGUAUUGGCCGGACGUGACGACCGCUGCCCUCUGUACCGUUCUUAGAAAUUAGUAACGAACCAACAUGGAACGUCCUGUAGGAACAAUCUACUCCAUAUACUUACAGAGGAGACACAGAGAAUCACUACUGGGAAUGAUAAUUAUCAUAAUGGCCAGUUCGCAAUUAAUAAUUCUGAAUUGGUCGCUGCGAUAAUAUUUUUCUUAAAUCAAAUUAUCAUUCCUACACCGUCCUAUACCUAUACAGUUUUGUAGGCACGUGGGAACGACGUGCUAAGGUGCGUGCUCCCAGCACACGCUCGUAUACAGUAAUCUGAGAAGAGUCAGGACAGAUCGCAUCUCUGGUCCAGCGUACCAGCUUUGACAAUGCCGACUCACCUUCAUGCGGGAUCAACCAAGGAACAGAAUUCCUCCGUUAUACGAUAACUUAGUGGGAUUUGGUUAAAAAGAUUUUGGUGAAAAAUUUUUUAUUCGGUAAAAAAAUAUCUUAUUACUUUACAAUCUACUUAUUACUUCAAUCUUGCGCAUAAAAGACCAUCCAAACUUACUUGAGACUCGCUCAACAUGUAUACAAGUCACAGGACAUGCACACGUCUAAUUAUAAUCAGAAACUUCAUGAAAUUGUGAAUCGCACAUACGGAGCUGUAAUUUAUCUCCGUUAUGCAUAGUCACGCUAGGGACUUAUUUAGAUAGAGAUCACUUUAGUUAUUAACAAUGGCGACCGGCUUGUUACCAUACUGUAGGAAUGAUCUGCUCCGUUGCUAUAUGCUAAUUUACGUAGCAGGAUGCUAUACGUUCCGAGCCUCCCUCUGUAACUUUACACUAGACUUUACUAAAUUUCUCAUUCGACCACGCGUGCACGCGCCACGUUUAAUACGCCCCUGAAAUUUUUCUGGCGGUACAAGCAAAACCGUCGGAUGGACCGAGGAGAUGAAAUAAAAAUAAUUGACGAUGGUAUAGGGUAUAUGGGUAGUAGUAGGGGGUUAUACCGAGGAAUUAAAUCAUGGCGAUGUCGAUUAGUAUUGACAAUGGCGAUUAAAGAGGACGAAUAAGUGGCCGGUCCGUAAUGACCAUGGAGAGCGUAGUGAGUAGUGAGCACUGUAAUUUCAUUGAUAAUAUUUAAAUAGGGGCUUUUAAUAGCUGUCUUUUCUUGGCCGGCAUUAGUAACAGGGGCGGGCAGAGGGACGAAGAAGCGGGGGGGCCCGAGGGCCCCUUUCUUUACCUUUACACUCCCUCCUCACGAUCUUAUACACUCUCGGCACGGCUUCCUCUUGUUCCUCCAUCCUUCUUUACCUUCUGUAUUUUUUACCUCUCUCCUCCUCUCGCGGUACCUUUUUUAUUUUCUCCUCUCUUACCCGAGCUGACAUGCGCAGAGGCGUACUAUUUAUCGAGUGGGCCCCGUCAUUAUUUCAUCGAACUCUUUCAGCGCGUCAUUAAUCGAGUCUCAGGCCCCUCUUCCUGACCGUGGGCCCGGGUAUACACACCUCCCACAUGCCCAUCCCCUGUGAACCAGAGAAUUAACGAUAUCAACAUAGAGAGGCAGGUGGUUAAGAAAGGCGCGCGAUUUGAAAUUUCAAAGGCUGCCAAGUCUCGUGCAACGUCGUAGUGAUAUCCAAAAAUGGAAUUGGGAACGAUCUGGAUGUAAAUGAGCGCGAGGAAGGAUUCUGAUGUAUAUCGAUGAGGUAUAUCGAUACAGGUACCGAACAACCGAGUUUUUUUCACCGUCAGCGCAAUUUGAUACAAUCUAAUUGGAUAUGAAAUUAAGUCAACGAAAUUCCGACAAAAAUUCAAUGCGCCCCGUUCCUUAUUCUUCGACCGUCGACUUUGGCUUUCCGCCUUCGCGUCACUAUACCUCUUCUUCUUCUUCUUCUUCUUCUUCCGCCUGAUUCUUCGUUUCUUUUACUUUUUCCUCCUCUCCUUCCCCCGACUCUCGUUGCCCCUCCUCUCCCACGUCCAUUGGCAUCGCGACGGGGUGAUAUUUGAAAUUUAUAUUUUCCGCGUGCGCGAAUCGACCCUGACGCAUCCGUCAUCUUUUUCAGUUGUAAACCCGGCCGCAUAAUUGUACAACCGCAUAACGAACCGCCCGGGUGCAUUACGUCCGUUUCAGUCGACGUCAGGACGGAUCAAUGUGCAUCCUAUAGAGAUGCAGGUGCAUUAUUUUCCUUCAUGCAUUUAAUGAUACGAAUAAUCGUGUUUUUCACUGAAUUAAGGAUAUAUAUAAAUGGGCACUGCGAUUGUCCACUUUCAAUGUCCUGAACCCUUGAAUACACAGUACCAAGAGAAGCUACCUGGAAUAUAAGUUUACGCGAAGGGACGUAGCUGGACAAAAAGUCUACAAGACUGGGGAUAGA